AUGAAUGUCUGAGUGGUUUAAAGUAUUAGCCUUGAAAGCUAACGUAUAAAAAAUACCGUGGGUUCGAAUCCUACUUCAUC
Molecule: transfer RNA, 80 nt
Filed under: Cyanoptyche gloeocystis
Lineage: Eukaryota; Glaucocystophyceae
Rfam family: tRNA
About the family: Transfer RNA (tRNA) molecules are approximately 80 nucleotides in length. Their secondary structure includes four short double-helical elements and three loops (D, anti-codon, and T loops). Further hydrogen bonds mediate the characteristic L-shaped molecular structure. tRNAs have two regions of fundamental functional importance: the anti-codon, which is responsible for specific mRNA codon recognition, and the 3' end, to which the tRNAs corresponding amino acid is attached (by aminoacyl-tRNA synthetases). tRNAs cope with the degeneracy of the genetic code in two manners: having more than one tRNA (with a specific anti-codon) for a particular amino acid; and 'wobble' base-pairing, i.e. permitting non-standard base-pairing at the 3rd anti-codon position.
Source: RNAcentral